Molecule: ribosomal RNA, 1965 nt
Filed under: wastewater metagenome
Description: bacterial LSU rRNA
Rfam family: Bacterial large subunit ribosomal RNA
Source: RNAcentral
CAUAAGCAGAGGAAGAAGACCUGGUGAAGUGAAACAUCUCAGUAGCCAGUGGAAAAUAAAACAAUAAAAAGCUUUCUUUAUUUCACGGAGUAACAUGGUUCCAAUCUCACUUCGGUGAGAAAGUAACUGUGUUAUUUCGUGAAUUGAGAGUGUGAUUCCGUCAGUAGUGGCGAGCGAACGCGGAACAGCCCAAACCACAUAUGAUGUUGGUACACAUGAGAGUAGUGUUCGCAAGAAUAUUAAGCUCGGUGUGCCUUAAAGGACAGGCCGUUGUCUAUGUGGUGUAGUAAGAUGUACAAGCGGUAACCUGAAUAACCGACUGUAUCGAGUGUUUGUAUAGUAGAAAACUCCUGGAACGGAGUACUAUAAAAGGUGAUAGUCCUGUAUACGAAAUAUUCUCACUCUACAGCUGUACAUUCUUGAGUAGGUCAGGACACGAGAAAUCCUGUUCGAAUCUGUCGCGACUAUGCGAUAAGGCUAAAUACUCAUUGUGACCGAUAGUGGACUAGUACCAUGAGGGAAAGGUGAAAAGCAGCCCGGGAGGGCGAUGAAAUAGUAUCUGAAACCAUACGCUUACAAGGAGCGGGAGUCCGCAAGGAUGACCGUGUUCCUAUUGAAGAAUGAGCCUACGAGUAUAUUGUGUGUCGCUUGCUUAAGGGCCUCUGGUCCGAAGGCACAGGGAAACCGAGUCUUAAUAGGGCGCCGGUGGCACAUAUAUAACCCGAAACCGGGUGAGCUAUCCAUGACCAGGCUGAAAGAUCAGUAAAAUGAUCUGGAGGGCCGAACCCACGAGCCGUGCAACACUCCGGGAUGAGUCGUGGAUAGGAGAGAAAUUCUAAUCGAACUCGGUGAUAGCUGGUUCUCCUCGAAAUAGCUUUAGGGCUAGCUGUACGUGGUCCCUCUGGGGGUAGAGCACUGGAUGAGAUCGAGGUCCGAAAGGAUACUCAUGUCAAUCAAACUCCCAAUACCAGAGAUUACAAGCGUACAAGUCAGACUGUGAGGGCUAAGCUUCACAGUCAAAAGGGAAACAGCCCAGAUCGCAAACUAAGGUCCCUAAAUUAUCACUAAGUGUAGAAAGUGGUGUCGAUUCUUAUACAACCAGGAAGUUGGCUUAGAAGCAGCCAUCUUUUAAAGAUAGCGUAAUAGCUCACUGGUCAAGAGUCUUCGCGCUGAAAAUGUAUCGGGGCUAAGUGAUAUACCGAAGUUGCGGGCCUCCAGUUUACUGGAGCGCGGUAGAGGAGCAUUCAAAGCGGCGAUGAAGUCGAAUCGGUAACGAUCGGUGGAGCGCUUUGAAGAGAGAAUGUAGGCACUAGUAGCACCAAUGCGGGUGAGAGUCCCGCACGCCGAAAAUCCAAGGUUUCCAGGGUAACGAGAAUCGUUCCUGGGUUAGUCGAUCCUAAGGCCAGUCUGUCGCAAGGCAGGGUAACCGAUGGAAAAGCAGGUUAAUAUUCCUGCACUUGGAAGCAUUUGUUGAUGUAUCCGCAUACUAGAAGUGUGAGCGUUGUAUGGCUACACGUCUCGCAAGAGUGAGUUCAAGUCGCAAGACGAGGACAAGUCACAUGUAUAAGGUGCCAAGAAAAGUAUAUCAACGCGUGGUGCUUUCAAAUCGUACCAAAACCGACUCAGGUGGAUAGGUCGAGUAGACCAAGGCGCACGAGAGAAACAUGGUUAAGGAACUCUGCAAUACAACGGCCGUAACUUCGGGAUAAGGCCUCCCCUCGUAAGAGGGGCUCAGUAAAAGACCACUUGCAACUGUUUACCAAAAACACAGCUCCCUGCUAAAGCGUAAGCUGAUGUAUAGGGGGUGAUGCCUGGCCAGUGUCAGAACGUUAAGGAGAGAGGUGAUCCCUGCUUGCAGGGCGUAGCUUUGAACUGAAGCGCUGAUGAACGCCGGCGGUAACUAUAACCGUCCUAAGGUAGCGAAAUUCCUUGUCGGGUGAGUUCCGACCCGCACGAAUGGCAUAA